GGGGAUCAGAGCUACACACAGAUUUUCAAUAGCCACAACUUGGUGCCCCCAAAGAUCUUCUGGGAAAGGGAAAGCACAGGCACUACAGCCCCCUGCACAUAAAGUUGCAUGGGGACACUACCAACCUGGGACACAUACAGACACAUUGUGCCACGGGUAAUAGUGGGAAAGGCCAGAGCCCUCAGUGCUCACCUUCAGCUGGAGGAGUUAGUGGAAUCAUAGAAUCACUAAGGUUGGAAAAGGUCACUAAGACCACCUAAGUCCAACCAUCAGCCCAUCCCCACCGUGCCCACUGACCAUGUCCCCAAGUGCCACAGCUACACAGUUCAUGAACAUCUCCAGGGACAGUGAUUCCACCACCUCCCUGGGCAGCCUAUUCCAAAGCCUCACUGCUUUCUCUAGAAGAAAUUUUCCCUAAUACCCAACCUGAACCUCCCCUGGUGCAACUUGAGGCCAUUACUUCUCCUCCAAAAUGAGAGGAGAUCCUUAUUUGCUGCUGGCCACCAUGGUUGCUGCUGAGGCUUUCAGUCCCUGGCAGCAGCGCAUUACAGGGAUGGAGGAGCUCUUUGCUUUUCCCAUACCCUGGCACCUGUCUCCCAGAGUUCCACUUUCCAUGUUGGGAGGUAUGGGAAGGAGCAUGGGAUGGACACAAGAGCUCCGGUCAGCACAAAGUGCCCCCUCCUUCACCAACUCCUUCACAAGAACACUAAGUGCACGGGAGCUGGUGAAUUAUUAAAUCAACCUCACAACAGCUCCAGAGAAACCUCCAGUGCCUCGGAUUCAAAGGGAAGGCUGCGGUGUGAGAAUCCCCAUUAGUAACAAUACGCACAGUUUGCAAGAACAUAUGUCCCCACACGGAGCAAUCAACCAAUCUGGGCUGUUUAACCACAAUAUUUCAAAGAAGUGCUUUUAACGCAGCUGAUCCGUAUGUUUAUUUUUUGAGCUGUAAAACAAGAUUCUUCAGCAGCCUUUCAGAACGUCUCCGUAAUGGACUUUAUCCAAACUAUUGGGAAGAGGGCUUUGCUCCAGCGGAGCGACUGAUACGUUUAUUUCUUUUUAACUCAGAAUCACGGCUGUGGAAGAAAAGCAAAGCCUGGGCAGACAGAAAGUGCAUUUUGCCCUUCAGAAAAAAAAAAAAAAAGAAAAAAAAAAAAGAAAAAAAAAAAAAGAAAAAAAAAAAAGGCAAAGAGGAGCAGGACCCCAUUGGGACAUCCUUUAAAAAGGGUUUUGAUCAGAAGUGUCUGAGAUGAGGGAGGUGGGAACCGGGGGGGGGGGGGGGGGGGGGGGGGGGGGGGGCUGGAGGGGGGAGGGCGAGGAGCUUUCCGAGCAGAAUAUAUGAUCGCACAUUGAAAAUACAUUUCUUUGCACCCUUUUCUCCUGCAAAGAGUGUGGGAGGCGAUCGCGGGUCCGUUGUAUUGAUUGAUUGAUUGUUUUAGGAAUCUUGGAACAGCCACAGCCGUGCCUUCACGGGGACGGGGGAUGUGGGGGCGGGAGGGGAGGGGAGGGGGACACGGUCUGCGCCCCGCGCAGGCGAGAGGCUCCGUGGGUACCCCGGGGUGCCCGAGCCCGCCCCCCCCCCCUCCUCCUACCCCCGGCAACGCAGCGCGGGGAGGGCACCCAUUCGUGCUCUCUGCCUUUCUCCUUUCAACCGCUUUUCCCUAAGAAGGGAUGGAGCGGGGAAAGGAGCGAGGAAGGGAGGGGAGGAGGAGGAGGAGGAGGGCAGCACCGGAGCUCUGCGCCCUCCGCCCGCUCCGCGGCCGCGGGGCUCCGUGCGGUGCGGGGCAGAUGGCCGCGUUCCCCCGGUCCGUGCCAGGUUUCAGCCUCACGCUGUUAUUUUGUUCUUCUGGAACGAGACUGGUGUUGCUUCCCAGAGAGGCCCUAUUAGGACAAAAAGAAAAUCCCGUGAAUAGGCGUAACAGGGCACCAGGAGGGAUCGG
This 1937-nucleotide long non-coding RNA is filed under the name Gallus gallus (chicken). RNAcentral describes it as "lncRNA (ENSGALG00010004195.1)". The record is from RNAcentral. Lineage: Eukaryota; Metazoa; Chordata; Aves; Galliformes; Phasianidae.